GAUGAACGCUGGCGGCGUGCCUAAUACAUGCAAGUCGAGCUAACGGACGAGAAGCUUGCCUUUCUGAUGUUAGCGGCGGACGGGUGAGUAACACGUGGAUAACCUACCCAUAAGACUGGGAUAACUUCGGGAAACCGGAGCUAAUACCGGAUAAUAUUUUGAACCGCAUGGUUCAAAAGUGAAAGACGGUCUUGCUGUCACUUAUAGAUGGAUCCGCGCUGCAUUAGCUAGUUGGUAAGGUAACGGCUUACCAAGGCAACGAUGCAUAGCCGACCUGAGAGGGUGAUCGGCCACACUGGAACUGAGACACGGUCCAGACUCCUACGGGAGGCAGCAGUAGGGAAUCUUCCGCAAUGGGCGAAAGCCUGACGGAGCAACGCCGCGUGAGUGAUGAAGGUCUUCGGAUCGUAAAACUCUGUUAUUAGGGAAGAACAUAUGUGUAAGUAACUGUGCACAUCUUGACGGUACCUAAUCAGAAAGCCACGGCUAACUACGUG
RNAcentral lists this ribosomal RNA (497 nucleotides) under uncultured bacterium. Its description in RNAcentral is "partial 16S ribosomal RNA". It matches the Rfam family "Bacterial small subunit ribosomal RNA", at positions 28 to 507 of the family's 1533-position model. The record is from RNAcentral.